AAAUAUCUGUAGGGGACUUGUGCGAAAUAGAUUCUGCUUUCUGUUUAUUUUCCAAGGAAUUUGAUAAAAGCUAAUACACUGAAACUGACACCAGAGCGUACCUAGAGAAGGUUCCUGGACUGUACCAUUCUGUUCUCCCAGGGGUUUAUGGAGACAAGAGCUGCACCAAGUUAUCUGUGGCCUGUAGUGUUCUGCUCCCUUUUUCCUCUCCCCCGAGUGCCAUUUCAGGAAGGAAGAAGGCAAACAAGACCUUUGUGUAUUAUUCCGAAAAGGGUGCUGUUUAUGAGCGGCACAUCGUGCGGUGGAAAGAAGAGGGUAGGAAUCAUCAUUUAUCAAAUACUUAUAGAGUCAACUACUAUAGCACUGGUUAGAUGCCCUGGGUUUGAGUCCUAGCCCAGCCAAUACUGCCUGUGUGACUGAGUGUGACUAACCUUCCUGCUUUGGCCAGUACUGUCCUGGAUUUAGUACUGAAAGUCCUGUGGUCCUAGGACUCCUUCAAUCUUGGAAAAUUCGACAUUUUAUCACUGUAACUCAGUCAUUUGCACUUAUUUAUAAAAUAGAGAAGUUGAUUUCCUUUUAUACCGUGAGUUUGGUGUGGUGUCAAAUUAGAUAAUACAAAAGAACUUGAUAAAAUAUGAGCUUUAUAUAGACAUAAAGUACUGUGUGUUUCACUUUCCUGUUCCAGGCAUGUGUGGCAAAGGCUUAGCUACAGAACUGGAUUUUUGUACCAGGGGACAGUCCCCUGAGGAGUGCGACUCCGGGACUCAGAAGGCUUUCAGGUAAAUGUCUUUCUCUUUUCUCCCUAAGUUAUGGGGCUCAAACCCAGGGCCUCGCUUUUUCUAAGAACACGCUCUGCCGCUCAGCUACACACCCAGGGUCAAGUCUGUCUCCACAGCCAAGUGUUCAAGGGGGCUGCAAAAAUCCGUCCCAGCUUGGCAGGGAAGUUGUAAAGAGGCCCAGACAAGGAGGCUGUGGGUUCUUGGUGAGCUCUCAAGCACCUCUGUCCACAAGUGGGUGCCAGCAGGGCAGCCCCUGGGACAGUUUCCCACUCUAUUUGGAUGUAGACGGGCAAGGCAGUCCCGAUGGCCACGCGGAGGGGCUAGUGUACACCCUAGGCCAGAUACGUGAGCAGGCGUGUAGGGCUGCCUGCAGUGUGAACAAGACCUGAGGUCAUGCAUCAUGGCAGACAGGGGCAGUGCCAGCCCAGAAACUUCCUUGGGCAUUCCGGAAGUGGUUCCUGGAAGAAGAACUUCCUGCUUGGGUUGCUGAGUACUCACGACUCCGAAACACUAUUUCCUGGCAAGGAACAGCUGGUGUUAGGCCAGGAAAAUGGUGGUGACCUUGAGAAGUAGUCACGUGCUAUCCACUCUCUCCUCAAACACGAGUGUGGAGGCUGUGGACAGCCGGGGUGUCAGAGACUUCAUGUUCGGCAACGCUGGAGAGACAGCCUCAGUUCUCCCUCAUCCAUGACAAGGGAGGCAGACUGCAGGUCAUAGUUUUCCACCUGGCCUCUACUAAGCACACCUUCUGUGGGAAGAAAUCCUGCUACUUUUUUCCUUAAUCAGAUAUAGAGGAGUAUAUGUCCUUUUUCAAUUUCUGGGAAGCUAAGAUUUAUUAAAGUCUGCAAAUUGCCUUCUUGAAGUAAACUUUGUCUAAAAUGAUUCUAGUUUCCUGGCAGGUAUUUAGUCUGUGGGUGAGUUCUAAAAAGAGGUGAAUAGGAGUUUGCCCAUGUUAUGUUAUUAAAUGCUUUACAAAGAUUAAGUCAUUAAUUCUCGCUGCCUCCUUGGGAGCGUUGUUAUCCUUAUUUUUCAGCCGUGGAAUUGGGACCAAGUGCUGCACAGAGGGGCCUUGCCCAAGGCUGUGCAGCUGGGGAGAAUCAGGGAGAACCAGGCUGUGUUAGCGGCUCACAGGCCGGCUUUCCCUCUGAGGUAAGGAGAUGCCUUGGGCCUGUGUCAAGGCGGCUCCCGGAGCCUGAAGAAAAGCGCUCAAAAGCCGUAAGCCUCUCACAAAGACAAAGCCAAGCAAACCACACUGAUUGUGGAUGCCAGGUACUGAGUCUGUGUGAUAACACAGACAGCCACGAGGCUGGAGCUGGCCUUCCAGGGUUCUGUGGCAGCUGUGAAAUGAACGUCAAUGAAAGGUGCCAAUGGCAUUGUAAGGGAAUGCUUAAGCAAUUUGUAUGAACAUCAAGGGGAUUAGCAAGCAUCUCAGUGAUACUUUCGUCCUGUUGCUUUAUAUGUGUGCAGUGCCUUCCAGUUCCAAAAGCACGCUCACAUGUACAAUCAUUUCCCAGCAAUAAUUAUUCAAACUAGAGUAGACGCGGCUGAACUGUGCCCUUAGGUCUGUAAGCUGAAGCACUAACUCCCAGGACCUCAGAAUGUGACUGCAGUUGGAGAUAGGGCUUUUAAAGUCGGGAUUAAAAUGAGGCCCUUAGGGCGAGCCCUGAUCCAAUCUGACUGGUCCAUAAAAGAGGAAGAAAAUUAGGGUGCAAAGAAGAAAAAAAGCGUGAGGACACAGCCGGAAGGUGCCCAUGUGCGAGCCAGGGACAGCGGUCUCAGGAGAGAGGAAACCUGCCCACACCUUGAUCUUGAACUGUGCGAAGUAAAUUUCUCUUGGGCAAGCCACCUUCUUCCUGCUCUUUUGUUAGGCAGCUCUUGCAAAUUAAUACAGAAGAUCAUUUUGUAAUAUCUCUAAGCAUGUCAGUUACGCUCAUUUCUUACCAGAAAUACUUUUGUACUGCAACUUUCACAGAUUCAUUAAGAAUGAUAACAGCGAAGCUGGCUUGAACUUAGGAAGACGUCACCAAGCGCUACAGUGUAAACAUUGUACUUCGAUCCUCAUGAAAGCCGUUCAGAUAAGUCAUGGAGAAGAAGCCGAAUUCCAGUCAGUAAAUGCAGAAGAAUGAGAGAAAUGGAAGGUUGCCGUGGGGCAGACACUAGUCAUAAUAAUUGUUUGCCUAUCAGCUUGUUUUGAGGUCAUGUAUCAUUUUUGUGUUGAUUUUGUUUUUGUCUUCAUUGUUGUUGUUUUGUUAUUUUCUCUCCUUAAAAUAAAAAAAAAAUGCAAAAAAGUUGUUGUAGGCAAGCACCAUGCAUGCACACCAUAAUGAGUUGGUGAAAAUGUGAGAAGAAGGAUGUAGUCUCAGAGUAUCUCCUUGCAAGGUGUUCAUUAGUGUCAAAGGGAGCAAUAUUAAGUUUACAGUGGAGAAGCCCAG
Molecule: long non-coding RNA, 3211 nt
Filed under: Chinchilla lanigera (long-tailed chinchilla)
Lineage: Eukaryota; Metazoa; Chordata; Mammalia; Rodentia; Chinchillidae
Description: lncRNA (ENSCLAG00000022366.1)
Source: RNAcentral